Molecule: ribosomal RNA, 454 nt
Filed under: uncultured Thiobacillus sp.
Lineage: Bacteria; Pseudomonadati; Pseudomonadota; Betaproteobacteria; Nitrosomonadales; Thiobacillaceae
Description: bacterial SSU rRNA
Rfam family: Bacterial small subunit ribosomal RNA
Source: RNAcentral
GCACAAGCGGUGGAUGAUGUGGAUUAAUUCGAUGCAACGACGAAAACCUUACCUACCCUUGACAUGUCCGGAAUCCUGCAGAGAUGCGGGAGUGCCCGAAAGGAAUCGGAACACAGGUGCUGCAUGGCUGUCGUCAGCUCGUGUCGUGAGAUGUUGGGUUAAGUCCCGCAACGAGCGCAACCCUUAUCAUUAGUUGCUACGCAAGGGCACUCUAAUGAGACUGCCGGCGACAAACCGGAGGAAGGUGGGGAUGACGUCAAGUCCUCAUGGCCCUUAUGGGUAGGGCUUCACACGUCAUACAAUGGUCGGUACAGAGGGUUGCCAACCCGCGAGGGGGAGCUAAUCCCACAAAGCCGAUCGUAGUCCGGAUCGCAGUCUGCAACUCGACUGCGUGAAGUCGGAAUCGCUAGUAAUCGUGGAUCAGCAUGUCACGGUGAAUACGUUCCCGGGUCUU